GGCAAGAUGGCCGAGCGGUCUAAGGCGCCGCACUCAAGCGUCACAACUUGUCACAUUCAAUGUGGUUUGCGGUCUCGAAAGAGGCGUGGGUUCAAAUCCCACUCUUGUCA
This 110-nucleotide transfer RNA is filed under the name Ascodesmis nigricans. It matches the Rfam family "tRNA". Rfam says of the family: Transfer RNA (tRNA) molecules are approximately 80 nucleotides in length. Lineage: Eukaryota; Fungi; Ascomycota; Pezizomycetes; Pezizales; Ascodesmidaceae. The record is from Rfam by way of RNAcentral.